RNAcentral lists this ribosomal RNA (520 nucleotides) under uncultured Paraglomus. RNAcentral describes it as "SSU rRNA". It matches the Rfam family "Eukaryotic small subunit ribosomal RNA", at positions 569 to 1096 of the family's 1831-position model. The record is from RNAcentral. Lineage: Eukaryota; Fungi; Glomeromycota; Glomeromycetes; Paraglomerales; Paraglomeraceae.
AGCAGCCGCGGUAAUUCCAGCUCCAAUAGCGUAUAUUAAAGUUGUUGCAGUUAAAAAGCUCGUAGUUGAAUUUCAGGCCUGGCUGGACGGUCCGCCCUUCGGGUGAGUACUGUCUGUGGUCGGGUCCUACCUUCUGGCGAAGCGUCAUGGCCUUAACCGGCCGUGGCGGGGAACCAGGACUUUUACUGUGAAAAAUUAGAGUGUUCAAAGCAGGCAAUCGCUUGGAUACAUUAGCAUGGAAUAAUGGAAUAGGACAAUGGUUCUAUUUGUUGGUUUCUAGGACCGUUGUAAUGAUUAAUAGGGAUAGUUGGGGGCAUUAGUAUUCAAUUGUCAGAGGUGAAAUUCUUGGAUUUAUUGAAGACUAACUACUGCGAAAGCAUUUGCCAAGGAUGUUUUCAUUAAUCAAGAACGAAAGUUAGGGGAUCGAAGACGAUCAGAUACCGUCGUAGUCUUAACCAUAAACUAUGCCGACUAGGAUCGGGCGAUGUAGAAAAUGACGACGCUCGGCACCUCAUGGGAA